AUACUUACCUGGACGGGGCCGAUGGGCGAUCAUGAAGGUCCAUGACCUAGGCUAGUGGCCUCCACUGCACUUGGGAGGAGCAUUGGCUUACCAUCUCCCCAAGUGGGAGACUGGACGUCACAAUUUGUGGCAGAGGGGGUACGCGUUCGCGCGGCCCCUAU
Molecule: small nuclear RNA, 161 nt
Filed under: Oryza glumipatula
Lineage: Eukaryota; Viridiplantae; Streptophyta; Magnoliopsida; Poales; Poaceae
Description: snRNA U1
Rfam family: U1 spliceosomal RNA
About the family: U1 is a small nuclear RNA (snRNA) component of the spliceosome (involved in pre-mRNA splicing). Its 5' end forms complementary base pairs with the 5' splice junction, thus defining the 5' donor site of an intron.
Source: RNAcentral